RNAcentral lists this ribosomal RNA (506 nucleotides) under uncultured bacterium. RNAcentral's name for it is "bacterial SSU rRNA". It matches the Rfam family "Bacterial small subunit ribosomal RNA", at positions 26 to 518 of the family's 1533-position model. The record is from RNAcentral.
AGGACGAACGCUGGCGGCGUGCCUAACACAUGCAAGUCGAGCGGGGACAUGCGACGGAUCGGAAGUUUUCGGAUGGAAGAGAAGAUGUAUGUUCUAGCGGCGGACGGGUGAGUAACGCGUGAACAAUCUGUCCUUCACAGGGGGAUAACACAGCGAAAGUUGUACUAAUACCGCAUGAGACCACGGUAGGGCAUCCUACAGGGGUCAAAGGAGCAAUCCGGUGAAGGGUGAGUUCGCGUCCGAUUAGAUAGUUGGUGAGGUAACGGCCCACCAAGUCGACGAUCGGUAGCCGACCUGAGAGGGUGAUCGGCCACAUUGGGACUGAGACACGGCCCAAACUCCUACGGGAGGCAGCAGUGGGGAAUAUUGGGCAAAUGGGGGAAACCCUGACCCAGCAACGCCGCGUGAGGGAAGAAGGUUUUCGGAUCGUAAACCUCUGUCCUUGGUGAAGAGGAAGAGACGGUAGCCAAGGAGGAAGCCCCGGCUAACUACGUGCCAGCCGCGGC